UCUAAGACGUACCGUAAUUCGAGUACGCCGAAAGGGAAACAGGUUAAUAUUCCUGUACCUGUAUCAAACAAUCCUGACGCUUUCGGAUAGGCAUUGCGGAGCCAUCGCUCCGUCUAAGCUGGAUAUGAAAUUGGAGUACCGUAAUGGUGAGAAUUUUUCAAAACGGUGAUGGGGUAACAAUGCUGAUUCCAGGAGCCCGUGAAAAGGGUGAUACGGUCCGUACCGAGAACUGACACAGGUGCCCCUCGCUGAGAAGGCGAAGGCGUUUCGGGAGUAAAUGUGUUAAGGGAACUCGGCAAAUUAGCCCUGUAACUUUGGGAUAAGGGGUGCCUGCCCAGCGAUUGGGCAGGUCGCAGUGACAAGAUCGCUCCGACUGUCUAAUAACAACAUAGCAGACUGCAACUCCGAAAGGACUCGUAUAGUCUGUGAUUCCUGCCCAGUGCGAGUAUCUGAACACCGGGUUCAACCGGACGAAGGACUCGUAAACGGCGGGGGUAACAAUGACCCUCUUAAGGUAGCGUAGUACCUUGUCGCUUAAUUGGCGACUUGCAUGAAUGGAAUAACGAGAGCGAUACUGUCCCUAACACAUACCCGUUGAACCUUUUGUACUAGUGCAGAGACUAGUGACUCCUUAUGGGAAGUGAAGACCCCGUGGAGCUUUACUGCAGCCUGUCGUUGGGUUACGGUAUUACCUGCGCAGGGUAGAUGGGAGACGUCGAUCCAACCCUUGUGGGGGUUGGUUAGUCAACGAUGAGACACCAUCCUGGUUUUAUUGUAAUUCUAACUGAUUUAUCAGGACAUCGAUAGGUAGGCAGUUUGGGUGGGGCGCCACACCCUCGAAAAAAUAUCAAGGGUGCCCUAAGGUCAACUCAAGCGGGUCAGAAACCCGCUGAAGAGUGUCAAGAGCAAAAGUUGGCCUGACGCGAUUUCGCAUAGCAAGAAAUCGCGAGAGGAAACUCGGGUCUAACGAACCAAUACGCCCUGUUGAUGAGGGCUAUUGACUACAGAAAAGCUACCCCGGGGAUAACAGAGUCGUCGCCGGCAAGAGCACAUAUCGACCCGGCAGCUUGCUACCUCGAUGUCGGUUCUUUCCAUCCUGGCUGUGCAGCAGCAGCCAAGGGUGAGGUUGUUCGCCUAUUAAAGGGGAUCGUGAGCUGGGUUUAGACCGUCGUGAGACAGGUCGGUUACUAUCUAUAAGGAGUGUUGGAAGUCUGAAGGCAAGAAUGAAAUAGUACGAGAGGAACUUUCAUUCGGCGCCACUGGUCUACCGGUUGUCUGACAAGGCACCGCCGGGCAGCUACGCGCCAAGAGAUAAAAGCUGAAAGCAUCUAAGCUUGAAACUCAGCCUGAACAAGAGACUUCAUUAAAGACACGGGUAAAAGACCCGGUUGAUAGGUUCGGGAUGUACGCACGAAGGCAACGACGUGUUCAGUCCGCGAAUACUAAUUGUCUUAAUAAUU
This 1460-nucleotide ribosomal RNA is filed under the name metagenome. Its description in RNAcentral is "bacterial LSU rRNA". It matches the Rfam family "Archaeal large subunit ribosomal RNA", at positions 1477 to 2987 of the family's 2987-position model. The record is from RNAcentral.